CUGAGGACUAGACAGCUAACCUUCUGUGAACCUUGAGAAUUCUACUGGAAAGCAAGCUACCUUCCACCUAUCUGGACAAAUGUCCUUCACAUCUUAGAUACCAACACAAGUCUAUUCUCGUCAGGAAAAAAAAAAAAACAACUCUUCAAGACCUUAGUAAAACAUGUAUGUAUUUUAUGUGGGAAAAAACCCUGAGAGCAGCAUGAAAGUUAAGUAUGACAACUUUGUUAUUCAAAAUGGUGACGUUAGGCCAUUGACAUCACACCUAGAACACUUUUCAUGACACUUACCUCUAUGGUUAGGAGAACACAAUGCCAGUGAAAGAACUGGGAGGAUACCACUCCAUCUGAGCUGGGCGAAGAGCAGGACCGAUCACAGAAUUUCACUGUCCCUGGAGAUUGAGCUUAUGCAUCAUAUGAGCCAUAAAACAAAACAGGACCAAUGAGUAGCAGUCUCUGGACAACAUGAGGAUGAGUGUCAGUGGCCCUGGGAUCAGGUCCUUCAGUAGAGGUUGUUCUUCUUGGGAUGGAAUCGUUCAAGUAGAGGCUGGUCAGCUGCAGACAGGACUGUGUGGGGCAGAGCUGAAGCCCUUUUCUUCCUCCUGUAGCUCCCCCACAGGGAAGGAGUGCAGGCCAAAAGGAGCCAAAUGAAAGAGGUCGUGAUGUAUCAAAGGUCAAUGGAAAGCACGAUGUGAUAUCACAGACUUGUAACCCCAGAAUUCAAGAGGCUGAGGCAGGAGGAUUACCAUAAAUUCCAGACAAGCUGGGAUAUCUAGC
Long non-coding RNA from Rattus norvegicus (Norway rat), 776 nucleotides. NCBI's taxonomy places the organism in Eukaryota, Metazoa, Chordata, Mammalia, Rodentia, Muridae. The record is from Ensembl.